Apis cerana (Asiatic honeybee) is the source of this 3611-nucleotide long non-coding RNA. RefSeq lists it as uncharacterized. The record is from RefSeq and is a predicted model, not a curated record. NCBI's taxonomy places the organism in Eukaryota, Metazoa, Arthropoda, Insecta, Hymenoptera, Apidae.
CUAAUUUGAUACAUUUUAUUCAUUAUGCUUAAUUCAAAUAAUUUUAAAAUAGUAUUAGUAAAUAAUUAAAUAAGUAAUAAUACUAAAUAUGAUUAAUAAUUAUCGAUUAUAUUUGAAUUAAUUUUAAAUUAAAUUUCUAAUAUUACAAUCUUUAUCUUUCAUAUUUUUAUCUUUGACGCAUGCGCAGUAAAAUAAAUAGUGUGUAAUAAAUUAAUUUGUAAUACAUAAUAUAAUUCGAUUGGUUAUUUUUGUGAUAAAAUUAUUUAAAAUAUAAAAAAAUGCAUAAAAAUAUGAAGAAAAGUUAAAAUAUAGAAAAAUAUGCUGGAAAAUAAUAAAAGCAAAUCAUGCAAUAUUUAAAGGAUUGAAAUAACAAUUUGUGAUUUCCGUUUUGUGAAUCGAAAAAAGAAUGAAGUCUGACAUAAUUAUGUCCAUAUGAUCCAAAACGAGCUAUUUUAAAUACAUGCUCUUAUCUAUAUUCUUCCUAAUUUUAAUUAUUUAUUUCUAAUCUCUCUCAUUGUCCAUCUAAUGUUCAUAUAAUUUCAUUUAACCUCACAAGUUUAUACAAACGAGAAUAAAAAUUUCGUUACGAAAUCAACUAAUUAAUAGAUCAACUGAUAAAUCAAUUAAUCAAUAUUUUAUAUAUAUAUCUACAUUUGGAUCAAAAUUAUUAAUAAAACUUGCUUUAAUAAAACUUAUUAGAAAUUGUAAUUCAAUUAUAUAAGAUAUAAAAAUUAAUAUAACUUAUAUAAGAAUUUUUCCAAUAUAAAAAUGAAACAGUUUUAAUAAAAAUUUACAUAAUAAUUAUAUAAAAUUUACAUAGUAAUAGUUUUAAUAACAGAAUUUACAUAAAGAUUUAAUAACAGCAUCUAUAAGUAAUUUAAAUUCUCCUAAUAAAAAUAUCUCUUUUCAUAUUACAUUUUUCAUCAAUUUAAUUUAAGUUAAAAUUAUAUCACAUAUACACAAUGAUACAAUAUGCAACUCAUUUUCCAAAUAUAUUACGAGAAAAAAGCAGUAUAAUUUUAUUUCAUAACCUCUAUAACCAUUUUAAUUCACAAUCUCAUUAAUAUUAUGUACAUAUUUUUAAUUCCACAAUUGCUUUAAUUGUAUUAGUUUUUUUCCAGUAAAGAAAAUAAAAAAUUUGCAUAGACGAAGUUUGAAAAUAAUUGGACAUUUAAGAUACAUAAGUUUUUCACGUCUUGAAAAGAAACACGCAAAUCUACGUCACUUGACUUUUCAAGGAGGACGCUGCAACGCGAUAAAUUUUGCUCCUCCUGCCCUCUGUCGUUCCUUAUACCCUGUGGGCCUUUCGAGGUGUCGUUUCUUUACCGAAUGAUUUAUUAACUUUGCCGCGUGACUCGUCACAAACUGAAAAAGCUUCCUUCUCUAUUUCGUAUCGGACAAAACUAACGUUCGUUAUCCGCGAAACCUUUCCACGUGCAAAAGUAAUUAAAAUGAAAAUUAUUCGUUCCGCUACGUCCUUCCUGGCGAGACGCUAUGUUGACUUCGGAAUUCAAAGUGUUCUACGAUGGAAACGAAAAAGCGAUUUGUAGUAGUACUAUUUAUAGUAGUACUAUUAUAAAAUUAGUUAGUUUGUACCAAAAGUGCUAUUUAUAUGACAGCGAACAGAUAUCUGAAAUAUAACAUAUAUAUAUAUAUAUAUAUAUAAUAUAACAUAACCUCAAUUUUCAUUCAUAACAUAAUUCGAUCAAAUACUUGUGCGUUUACAUGGAAAAAGGUGAAGUCAUAGUUAUGCUAUAGAAAGGAUCGCGAAAAAAGUGCUGGAUAAGAUCUUGCACUUUUCGCUUGAUCAAAGAAUGCUAUGAAGGGAACUUGUAAGAAAAGGAUGCAUCCCUAGUGUAACCUUUUCUUACGUCACAUUUUCCUGUUUGCGAAAAAUCCGUUAUGAAGGCUCUUCCUGCCAAAUGCUAUUAGGUGCAUACAAAGAUAAUGGAUUUUAGAAUUGUAUUCCGAAAAUAUUCCAAAAUUCAAAUAGAAAUGUAAAAAUGGACUAUUCACGAUAAAAAUCAAUCUAUUAAUUACGAAAAUAAUUGAGGUUAGGUUAUUCAUUUAUUAUUUUUUUAUAAGAAUAAAAUUUUUCGAUUAAUUCUUAUAUAAAAAAAAAAAAAUUUUUUCAUUUAAAAAUCUUAAUUGUAAUAAAAUUUAAAAUUUUUUAUUUUCAUAAACAAAUUUUAAAAUUUUUCAUUUUUUCUCAUUUUUCUUUAUUCACAUUACAUUUUUUUUUUUUCUAUAUCGAUUCACAUUUAAAAUUACAUUAUUAAAGAAUUAUUGGAAUAGUAAAUCGAAUGCAUUGAAUUUUGGAUACUGACAAACAUAAAUAUUUUUAUAAAGAUUUUAGCUGAACAAAGAUCCGAAUUUUGCGUGUUACAAUGGUAAGUGCUGUGCAGAUAAAUUUACUAAAUUUCACGAUAGAAGAGUCCUUUUGAUGGGCUGCGGUGAUCGACGAAGCGUAGAGAAUGCUGUAGCCGAAUUGUAGUAGUAAAUUUUCAGUUGCAAACUUGAUUGGCGAGCAUCAAUCCACUCAACUCUCUGUGAUGAAAGGUAUCAAAACUUGGAUUUUAAUAAAGAAAGAAAAUAUGUGGCUGAAAAUUUUUAUGAGAAAACGAAAACAUUUACUUAAAAAACUAACCCAAUUUUUGUAUAAGAAUGUAUAAAUUAAUAAAAUGUAGAGAAUAAUUUUUUCAAUAUCGCUUCUUCAUAUUUUUAUACUUUUUUUAUAUGUAUAUAAUGUAAAAAAAGAAGUUUUUUAAAAUGAAAAAAGGUAAAAAAUAUAAAACUCACAAUUUGGUAAUUCCAAGAAUAUGAAAUUGAGUAUGAAAAGUUUCAGCGCUUCCCGUUGAUAAACAAUAGAGUAAAGUGAUUAGAAACGUUCUUUAGCUGAGAUCUUGUUAAACUUGUUGAAUGGAUGAAUGAAAAUUUUCCUGGGUUUUCACGUUAUGAAAUUAACUUUAGACUUCUCCAAAUUAUAUCGAGCUUCUUGAGAUUUCAUAGUUUCUCACUGUCGAGAAAUUCACGCAUUCGUUAGGUAUAUUUUAUUAUCAUCACAAAAAAAAAUAACAUUUUCUAAUAUGUAACAUAAAACAUUUUUCAUUUAAAAAGAAUCAUCUAAAUAUCUUCUUCGAAUAUCACAAUAAAAAAAUAGAUGAAUACGAAUAAUUUAUGAAUAAUUAUAUAUGAAUAAUUUGGAUAAUAUUGAAAGAUGAAUUUUCAUUUUUAGUUUUUUUUUUUUCUUUUUGAAUUUUCAAUAUUUCUGAUAUUUCAUUUUUCUCGUAUAAAUAUAUUUAUAUUUUUUUUAUUAGCAUAAUUGAUGAUAAAAUAUAUUCAAAAUGUAUUGCGACGUGAUCUUAAAGUCUUGAUAAAAUGAAGUCUAGAUUUCAAAGUUAAAAAUUUCACAAUUAUUAUAUGAAGUUCUACAUAUAUAUAUAUAUAUAUAUAUAUAUAUAUAUAUAUAUAUAUAUAUAUAUUUAUAUGUAUAAUACGUAUAUUUCUUAUAAAUAAUAUUUAAUUCUAGAAAUUAAUAAUAAAUAUUUACAGUAAGUCAAAUUUGUCAUUAAUAAUAUACCAUUCUUUAAUAUCAAACUACUUUUAAACAU